This is a long non-coding RNA of Sceloporus undulatus (fence lizard), 840 nucleotides long. RefSeq lists it as uncharacterized. The transcript has 4 exons. The record is from RefSeq and is a predicted model, not a curated record. NCBI's taxonomy places the organism in Eukaryota, Metazoa, Chordata, Lepidosauria, Squamata, Phrynosomatidae.
CAGAGGAGAAUCGAAACUUAAGGAGCACAGCCACAUUGAGGUCAAUUGAUAUAGGAGGAACAAAGUACAAAGUAAAGAUUAACAAAGUCAGGGGAUGUACCUUCUGAAUCCUGAGAGUGUGGAUUGUUUCAGCUUGUGCCACUCAAGGAAAGGACAGGAUUUGGGGGAUGAUGAGAACACAUUCUGGUGCAUCUGGUGACCCUUGGCCAUUUUGUCUACUUGCAGGUGAGACUGAAUGCCCCAGAAAGGCUGAAUGAGAUGGUGUCCUUUCCACACCAGCAGAGGAAUCAGAAACUGAAAGCAGCAAUUAGAAGAAUGGCAGAUGCAUACCUGAGUGAAACAUUUAAUAAAUUGUUUUUGGCAAAAGGACCAUUCAAGAGAAAAUCAGAGUUAAAAUAAUGAAUCAACUCCAGUGUAUGCAGUACAAGUUCCCCUGAAGUCAACUGCAAAAUUAGAUUCAUUUUAAUAAGCUUGCAUUUCACUGUUAGCUUGAUAAUAGCUGAAUGAUGAAGACUAAGAAGAAGUGUGUGCUUCUGUUAAUCAGUCUGUACUGUAAACUUUUAUUAAGCUGUUACUGAAUUAAAUUCAUUAUGGUAUCUGCCUUUCUUAUAAGCUCUGCCAUGCUGUUAAAAUGUAAGAUAAGUGCUUGGCUGGAAGCUUAAUAGAGCUAAAGGAAAUAGUCGAUAAUAAGCAUGAAGUGUGAAAUUAUGAGAUAGAAUGUCACUGACAUAAGUCUUCCUUCCAAAUGUACUUGGUGUCUGAAAGCACUGUGUAGUUUAAGAUUAGGAAUCCCAUUUAUUUCCAUCAAACCAUGCACAAUUAAAGCAUAAUUGAGCCAGG